Gallus gallus (chicken) is the source of this 3019-nucleotide long non-coding RNA. The record is from Ensembl. Lineage: Eukaryota; Metazoa; Chordata; Aves; Galliformes; Phasianidae.
GGUUAAAUUGCUUUAUUCUCCUGAACCGUGUGACAGCUCAACAUCUGUACAGCUGUUUGUGUAACCAGCGCCAUGCCAGAGGAAGCCGUGUGAGCACCCACUGCCCCACCCCACACCCACAGCCCCACAUCACAGCCAGCCCUGCUCACAGGGGCAAAGGAUGCUGGAUGGGGACUCAAAGGAUUUUAGAAGUUGGUGCUUGCAGGCACUGCGGCUUUUUUCUAAUUAAAGUUCAUUAGUAGUGAUAGUAGUAAUUAUAACAUUAACAGCAGCCAGAGCAGGGACAAUUAAGGCUUCUCUUCUGGCCAAUUACUGGCAUCUCUUUGAGUCUCUGCACAGCCAACGCUGCAGCAUCCUGACGCAGACCGCCGGCACGGAGCGCUCUCACGUGAGCCCUGGCACUGGAGGGGACGCUGUGUGUUUCUGGGCGUUGUGCAGCCUGCAGGAUUUUCGUCUCUUCUGGCCCCAGCACCUCAAGACCCCACCUUUCAGCCUGAACACCGUUUAAACGUAUCAUUUGUUUUCAUUGUAGGUUUUGCAUCUCUGCCUUUCAUUCUUGUUCAUGAACAUCUGGAGUCUGAUUGGAAAACAAAAGGCAAAUGCAGGCAUAGCAGGCAAUCUGACAAAGGACGCGGUUACAGCUCUGGCAGGCUCCACCGCACCGGUGGUAGUGAGGAGAUGGCCAUUUGCUGAUUGCCUGGGGUUGACACGGCUUGGUUAGUAUGCUAAUGCAGCCUCUCACAUUUAACAUUCAGAUCAGGUCUGCGCAGAGCGCGGCGCCGGGAAGGGGUGGCUGCAUGGAGCCCCGACCGCACCGCAGCGAUCACACACACACCCAAACCCAGCGGCUCUGCUGCCAUGCGCUCUCUCCCUCUUGCACACCCUCUCCCCUCUCCUCCCCUCCUGCCCUCCAUGGUGCACACGCGUACGUACCAUCCGAAAAGCUUCCUGCAGAUGCUGAAAAAUAGGAAAUGUGGAAAAGUCAUGUAUGAUUGGCUCAUUUCUCUGCCUCCUUGUCCCCAAAGAUUCCCACUUUAAUAGACCCUGUGUUUCUGUUGCUGGAGAAGCCCAGAACGUAAUGCACCAGAAUUCAGUAAUAACAAAGCAAGAUGAAGUUUAUCAUCCAGAGCAAAGGGAUGGCAUUUUUGUAGCUCACAUACAAUGUAACAGUCACCAGGAGGCUUAAAAUUCCCUGUGUCCUCUCUCCCCACCCAACCUCAGCCCAAGAGAAAGAAAACAUUACAAUCCAUUCGUUUAGGGCAGCUAUCAUAUGCCCAGGUGAGAAGUAAAGCUUGCUCCUGUUAUUGCAGAUGAUUGUUGCUUUUCCUGUGAGCUUGGAGGCAGGGAGUUGCAAUCCCCCACCUGGCGUAAGUGGUUUCCAAUUUCCAGAAUUAAGGAAGGAAUUGUUUCCAGAGUCAGUUCACAUGGUAAGGUCCAGCAGAUCCUGCAGCCACAAGAGAACUUAAUUCCUCAAGCUCCCUUUUCUUUGUUUUUGUAAUGUCACAGCAGUUCUGGAAAGGCAUAUGGAGAAUCGUCAGCUUCUGCUUGCAUUCAGAGGGCUUCAGAAGUUGCAUUUUCAGAGACCAGGUCAGAUGUGGGUAAAAAUGAGACUCCGUCCGAGAUAGAAGCAGACAAAGCUGUUUAACCUCUGAAUUAUAGCACAGCUCCAUAGUUCUGCCUUCUGUUGUUUCAUGCUCUAAGCAAACUGCUUCUUGCAGUUCUCCCUCCUGGUGCCAAGCACGUAUUCCAGCUGCAGCUCAGCAGCACGGGGAAAUUCCUUCCAAGUCCCCGGCAGAGCAGUCGGCGCUUUCCGGAGCCGCAGGCUUGAUUGUCCUUGAUUAUUUUAUUUCUUUGGCUCUGAUCCAAGAUGUUUCCUGUCAUCAUUUCAGUGUCUUUUCUCAUAAUCCCUUUUCUAAACAUCAUCAACAAUUAACCGAUUCUCUCGUAUCUACAAACACAUGCACACACAGGCAGGCGCGCAUGCACACACACUCCACUGAGUCUCAUCAGUGUCUUUUUUGCCUUUAAGUAUAAGAAAUUACAGCUUCUCAUUAGCUGAAGAGCAUGUUUUGAAAGGCUUUGUGUUUACUCACUUUGCGAGUGAUGCUGGCGCUUUUAAUUAUUCUCCUUUUGCAUAUCAUAAGAGAGCAGGGAGCUGCUCCAGCCAGCCCGGAUGAGCCGCAUUCCCAGGAAGGCAGGAGGAAGGAAUCGUUUUGUACCUCUGCUGCUGCUUUCUUCCUUUUCUGUCAGCCAGCCAAGGAAUCCCCCCAAUGCUCUUACGUAGCAGAUACCAAAACUGUGAGUCACUUUUUGCUCCCAGAGCAUUAAGUCCACCACAUCUGCGUGCAGAACGGCGAGCACAAGGCUGGAAAUUUCUCCAGCGGUGACUUUGUUUUCCUGCUCUUGCUUUCUCUCCUUGGCUCCCUCGUUCCCUCAUUCCUCCUUCCGACUUCCCCAUUUUCUUUCUUCCUUCCUCUCCAUCCGUCUCCGUGGCUGGCAGCGGUAAGCCCGGCGAGGUCUGGGUCCCUCUCGCCUUCUGUGGAUUUUUUUGUGUGCAACUGCAGCAGCCUUUGGCUGCUCACUCUGCCAGGUUGGAUCACCAAAGACACACGACUCGCACACAAUGAAUAAUCAAUACAGAUAUUGAUCUGCGGAAAAUGUUUGUAAAUUCCUGAAAGGGGAAUCGGGAGCGCGGGACAGGGAGGCUUGUGGGGGACGACAGGGUGUUCCGGGCAGCGGCUGCCGCAGAGCCGGGUCCAGAGCCCACGUCCUGCCGCCUCCGAGGUGACGGGUGCUGGAAUGCAUGCGCGGGCGGGCGGGCGCGGGGGCUUCUGUAUUUUCAUUUCUCUACAGCUGCUUCCUCCGAAGAAUCGGGAGGCGAGCAGCUGAGAGGCCCCGCCAGUGCCAUGCCUUGGCUGCGGUCCAGCUCUGUUUUGUUUCCAUCAUCACACGCCACUUCAGAAUUUGCAUAAAUACAAGGGUUAUUUUCUGUUGCGUCUCCUGAAAGAUUUAAAAAGAU